UCCUUCGGGGGGCCGCCGUCGGGAAUAUUGCGCAAAGGAGGAAACUCUGACGCAGUGACGCCGCGUGCAGGAAGAAGGUUUUCGGAUUGUAAACUGCUUUGACAGGGAAGAAACAAGACAGACC
RNAcentral lists this ribosomal RNA (124 nucleotides) under uncultured Bacillota bacterium. RNAcentral's name for it is "uncultured Firmicutes bacterium partial 16S ribosomal RNA". It matches the Rfam family "Bacterial small subunit ribosomal RNA", at positions 337 to 460 of the family's 1533-position model. The record is from RNAcentral. Lineage: Bacteria; Bacillati; Bacillota.